CAGUCGCCGCGGUAAUACGUAGGUGGCAAGCAUUGUCCGGAAUUAUUGGGCGUAAAGGGCUCGCAGGCGGUUUCUUAAGUCUGAUGUGAAAGCCCCCGGCUCAACCGGGGAGGGUCAUUGGAAACUGGGAAACUUGAGUGCAGAAGAGGAGAGUGGAAUUCCACGUGUAGCGGUGAAAUGCGUAGAGAUGUGGAGGAACACCAGUGGCGAAGGCGACUCUCUGGUCUGUAACUGACGCUGAGGAGCGAAAGCGUGGGGAGCGAACAGGAUUAGAUACCCGAGUAGUCCCUGUCUCUUAUAC
RNAcentral lists this ribosomal RNA (301 nucleotides) under uncultured bacterium. RNAcentral's name for it is "partial 16S ribosomal RNA". It matches the Rfam family "Bacterial small subunit ribosomal RNA", at positions 509 to 807 of the family's 1533-position model. The record is from RNAcentral.